UGGGGGAUAUUGCACAAUGGGCGAAAGCCUGAUGCAGCGACGCCGCGUGGGGGAUGAAGGCCUUCGGGUUGUAAACUUCUUUUGCUCUGAACAAGGCAUGCUAAUGGGUGUGUUGAGUGUAGGGGUUGAUUAGCGCCGGCUAACUACGUGCCAGCAGCCGCGGUAAUACGUAGGGCGCGAGCGUUGUCCGGAAUUAUUGGGCGUAAAGGGCUUGUAGGUGGCUGGUUGCGUCUGUCGUGAAAGCUCAUGGCUUAACUGUGGGUUUGCGGUGGGUACGGGCUGGCUUGAGUGCAGUAGGGGAGGCUGGAAUUCCUGGUGGAGCGGUGGAAUGCGCAGAUAUCAGGAGGAAUACCGGUGGCGAAGGCGGGUCUCUGGGCUGUUACUGACACUGAGGAGAGAAAGCAUGGGGAGCGAACAGG
RNAcentral lists this ribosomal RNA (419 nucleotides) under bacterium. Its description in RNAcentral is "partial 16S ribosomal RNA". It matches the Rfam family "Bacterial small subunit ribosomal RNA", at positions 355 to 776 of the family's 1533-position model. The record is from RNAcentral.